Molecule: long non-coding RNA, 1863 nt
Organism: Taeniopygia guttata (zebra finch)
Lineage: Eukaryota; Metazoa; Chordata; Aves; Passeriformes; Estrildidae
Source: Ensembl
AUGGAAUCAGGGACACCAAAAACCCCAAAAACACCCCAAAAAUGGCAUCAGGGACCCCAAAAAUGGCAUCAGGGACCCCGAAAACCAAAAAAACACCCCAAAAAUGGCAUCAGGGACCCCGAAAACCACAAAAAACACCCCAAAAAUCGCAUCAGGGACCCCCAAAAUGGCAUCAGGGACCCCGAAAAUGGAAUCAGGGACCCCAAAAACCCCAAAAAACACCCCAAAAAUGGCAUCAGGGACCCCAAAAAUGGCAUCAGGGAACCCGAAAACCCCAAAAACACCCCAAAAGUGGCAUCAGGGACCCCGAAAAUGGCAUCAGGGACCCCAAAAACACCCAAAAAAUGGCAUCAGGGACCCCGAAAAUGCCAAAAAACACCCCAAAAAUGGCAUCAGGGACCCCGAAACCCCCAAAAAUCGCAUCGGGACCCUAAAAUGCCAAAAAACCCCAAAAAAUCGCAUCAGGGACCCCAAAAAUGGCAUCAGGGACCCCAAAAAUCACAUCAGGGACCCCAAAAAUCACAUCAGGGAACCCAAAAACCCCAAAAAACACCCCAAAAAUCGCAUCAGGGACCCCAAAAAUCGCAUCAGGGACCCCAAAAAUCGCAUCAGGGACCCCGAAAACCCCAAAAAACACCCCAAAAAUGGCAUCAGGGACCCCAAAAACCCCAAAAAAUCACAUCAGGGACCCCAAAAACCCCCAAAAAACCCCCAAAAAUCGCAUCAGGGACCCCAAAAACCCCAAAAAUCACCCCAAAAAUGGCAUCAGGGAACCCCAAAAAUGGCAUCAGGGACCCCAAAAAUGGCAUCAGGGACCCCGAAAAUGCCAAAAAACACCCCAAAAAUGGCAUCAGGGACCCCAAAAAUGGCAUCAGGGACCCCAAAACCCCAAAAAAAAUCACAUCAGGGACCCCAAAAACCCCAAAAAACACCCCAAAAAUCAGAUCAGGGACCCCAAAAUGCCAAAAAACACCCCAAAAAUCAGAUCAGGGACCCCAAAAAUGGCAUCAGGGACCCCAAAAAUCACAUCAGGGACCCAAAAAACCUCAAAAAACACAUCAGGGACCCCGAAAAACACCCAAAAAUGGCAUCAGGGACCCCAAAAACAAAAAAAACUCCCAAAAAUGGCAUCAGGGACCCCAAAAACACCCCAAAAAUGGCAUCAGGGACCCCGAAAAUGGCAUCAGGGACCCCAAAAACAUCAAAAACACCCCAAAAAUCACAUCACGGACCCUGAAAACCCCAAAAAACACCCUAAAAACCAAAAAAACACCCCAAAAAUGGCAUCAGGGACCCCGAAAAUGGCAUCAGGGACCCAAAAAACAUCAAAAACACCCCAAAAAUCGCAUCAGGGACCCCAAAAACUCCAAAAAUCGCAUCAGGAACCCCAAAAACCCCAAAAAACACCCCAAAAAUCGCAUCAGGGACCCCAAAACCCCUAAAAAUCGCAUCAGGGACCCCAAAAAUCACAUCAGGGACCCCGAAAACCCCAAAAAACACCCCAAAAAUGGCAUCAGGGACCCCAAAAACCCCAAAAAAUCACAUCAGGGACCCCAAAAACCCCCAAAAAACCCCCAAAAAUCGCAUCAGGGACCCCAAAAACCCCAAAAAUCACCCCAAAAAUGGCAUCAGGGAACCCCAAAAAUGGCAUCAGGGACCCCAAAAAUGGCAUCAGGGACCCCGAAAAUGCCAAAAAACACCCCAAAAAUGGCAUCAGGGACCCCAAAAAUGGCAUCAGGGACCCCAAAACCCCAAAAAAAAUCACAUCAGGGACCCCAAAAACCCCAAAAAACACCCCAAAAAUCAGAUCAGGGACCCCAAAAUGCCAAAAAACACCCCAAAAAUCAGAUCAGGGACCCCAAA